Molecule: ribosomal RNA, 449 nt
Filed under: uncultured bacterium
Lineage: Bacteria
Description: bacterial SSU rRNA
Rfam family: Bacterial small subunit ribosomal RNA
Source: RNAcentral
GUUCCAGACUCCUACGGGAGGCAGCAGUGGGGAAUAUUGCACAAUGGGGGAAACCCUGAUGCAGCGACGCCGCGUGAGCGAUGAAGUAUUUCGGUAUGUAAAGCUCUAUCAGCAGGGAAGAAAAUGACGGUACCUGACUAAGAAGCCCCGGCUAACUACGUGCCAGCAGCCGCGGUAAUACGUAGGUGGCAAGCGUUGUCCGGAUUUACUGGGUGUAAAGGGCGUGCAGCCGGGACUGCAAGUCAGAUGUGAAAUCCGCGGGCUUAACCCGCGAACUGCAUUUGAAACUGCGGAUCUUGAGUACCGGAGAGGUUAUCGGAAUUCCUUGUGUAGCGGUGAAAUGCGUAGAUAUAAGGAAGAACACCAGUGGCGAAGGCGGAUAACUGGACGGCAACUGACGGUGAGGCGCGAAAGCGUGGGGGGCAAACAGGAUUAGAUACCCGCGUAGC